GUCUUGGCCAUGCCACCCUGAACAAGCCCAAUCCCAUUUGAUCUCAGAAGGUAAGCAGGGUUGGGCCUUUUAGUACUUGGAUGGGAAACCACCUAAGAAGACCAGGUGCUGUAGGCA
This 117-nucleotide ribosomal RNA is filed under the name Pteropus alecto (black flying fox). Lineage: Eukaryota; Metazoa; Chordata; Mammalia; Chiroptera; Pteropodidae. The record is from RNAcentral.